Molecule: ribosomal RNA, 750 nt
Filed under: uncultured bacterium
Lineage: Bacteria
Description: bacterial SSU rRNA
Rfam family: Bacterial small subunit ribosomal RNA
Source: RNAcentral
AAGGCCUAACUGGCAGUUCGAACGAAGAAGACCUUCGGGUCCCCUAGUGGGCGAACGGGUGAGUAACACGUAGGGAACCUGCCCGCGCACCGGGAAUACGCUCUGGAAACGGAGAACAAAUCCCGAUGUACAGGAAGGAGGCAUCUUCUUUCUGUGAAACAUCCUUUAGGGGAUGGGGCGCGGAUGGACCUGCGGUGCAUUAGUUGGUUGGCGGGGUAAAGGCCCACCAAGACGAUGAUGCAUAGCCGGCCUGAGAGGGCGGACGGCCACAUUGGGACUGAGAUACGGCCCAGACUCCUGCGGGAGGCAGCAGUAGGGAAUUUUCGUCAAUGGGCGCAAGCCUGAACGAGCGAUGCCGCGUGAGUGAAGAAGGCCUUCGGGUCGUAAAGCUCUGUUGCGGGGGAAAAAAGGCAGCAUCAGGAAAUGGGUGCUGACUGAUGGUGCCCCGCCAGAAAGUCACGGCUAACUACGUGCCAGCAGCCGCGGUAAUACGUAGGUGGCGAGCGUUAUCCGGAAUGAUUGGGCGUAAAGGGUGCGCAGGCGGUCCUGCAAGUCUGGAGUGAAACGCAUGAGCUCAACUCAUGCAUGGCUUUGGAAACUGGAGGACUGGAGAGCAGGAGAGGGCGGUGGAACUCCAUGUGUAGCGGUAAAAUGCGUANAUAUAUGGAAGAACACCAGUGGCGAAGGCGGCCGCCUGGCCUGUUGCUGACGCUGAGGCACGAAAGCGUGGGGAGCAAAUAGGAUUAGAUA